AAGGCUGAUGGCGACCGGCGCACGGGUGAGUAACACGUAUCCAACCUGCCGUCUACUCUUGGCCAGCCUUCUGAAAGGAAGAUUAAUCCAGGAUGGCAUCAUGAGUUCACAUGUCCGCAUGAUUAAAGGUAUUUUCCGGUAGACGAUGGGGAUGCGUUCCAUUAGAUAGUAGGCGGGGUAACGGCCCACCUAGUCAACGAUGGAUAGGGGUUCUGAGAGGAAGGUCCCCCACAUUGGAACUGAGACACGGUCCAAACUCCUACGGGAGGCAGCAGUGAGGAAUAUUGGUCAAUGGGCGAUGGCCUGAACCAGCCAAGUAGCGUGAAGGAUGACUGCCCUAUGGGUUGUAAACUUCUUUUAUAAAGGAAUAAAGUCGGGUAUGCAUACCCGUUUGCAUGUACUUUAUGAAUAAGGAUCGGCUAACUCCGUGCCAGCAGCCGCGGUAAUACGGAGGAUCCGAGCGUUAUCCGGAUUUAUUGGGUUUAAAGGGAGCGUAGAUGGAUGUUUAAGUCAGUUGUGAAAGUUUGCGGCUCAACCGUAAAAUUGCAGUUGAUACUGGAUGUCUUGAGUGCAGUUGAGGCAGGCGGAAUUCGUGGUGUAGCGGUGAAAUGCUUAGGUAUCACGAAGAACUCCGAUUGCGA
RNAcentral lists this ribosomal RNA (641 nucleotides) under uncultured Bacteroidales bacterium. RNAcentral describes it as "bacterial SSU rRNA". It matches the Rfam family "Bacterial small subunit ribosomal RNA", at positions 81 to 718 of the family's 1533-position model. The record is from RNAcentral. Lineage: Bacteria; Pseudomonadati; Bacteroidota; Bacteroidia; Bacteroidales.